AAGAGUAUGCAUGUUAAAUCUUUAAAUAUAUUAUUUUAUCUUACACUAAGUCGGCACAACAACGACCCAAGACCCAUUACUUAGAGCAUUCUGUUUGACGAAAGAUAACAUCGUAUGCUCGACGGAUUCUUCACCAAUAUGUGGUUCUGACAAACGCCUAUAUCUAAACAAAUGCUUUUAUUCGAAAGCGUUUUGUGACAACCCAUCAUUGACGUCAAUAAACAUUGGAUCCUGCAUUGGUAAUGUUGUAGUAGGAAAAUAGAAUUAUGUGCGCAUUUAUGUCUGUUUUUCUCGGUUGGUUUAGAAUAUAAAAAUACAAAAGAAAAUCAUAUA
Molecule: long non-coding RNA, 333 nt
Organism: Ruditapes philippinarum (Manila clam)
Lineage: Eukaryota; Metazoa; Mollusca; Bivalvia; Venerida; Veneridae
Exons: 2
Source: RefSeq, a predicted model, not a curated record